GACGAACGCUGGCGGCGUGCCUAAUACAUGCAAGUAGAACGCUGAAGGAGGAGCUUGCUUCUCUGGAUGAGUUGCGAACGGGUGAGUAACGCGUAGGUAACCUGCCUGGUAGCGGGGGAUAACUAUUGGAAACGAUAGCUAAUACCGCAUAAGAGUAGAUGUUGCAUGACAUUUGCUCAAAAGGUGCAAUUGCAUCACUACCAGAUGGACCUGCGUUGUAUUAGCUAGUUGGUGAGGUAACGGCUCACCAAGGCGACGAUACAUAGCCGACCUGAGAGGGUGAUCGGCCACACUGGGACUGAGACACGGCCCAGACUCCUACGGGAGGCAGCAGUAGGGAAUCUUCGGCAAUGGACGGAAGUCUGACCGAGCAACGCCGCGUGAGUGAAGAAGGUUUUCGGAUCGUAAAGCUCUGUUGUAAGAGAAGAACGAGUGUGAGAGUGGAAAGUUCACACUGUGACGGUAUCUACCAG
RNAcentral lists this ribosomal RNA (473 nucleotides) under Streptococcus mitis. RNAcentral's name for it is "bacterial SSU rRNA". It matches the Rfam family "Bacterial small subunit ribosomal RNA", at positions 28 to 486 of the family's 1533-position model. The record is from RNAcentral. Lineage: Bacteria; Bacillati; Bacillota; Bacilli; Lactobacillales; Streptococcaceae.